CCUACGGGGGGCUGCAGUAGGGAAUCUUCCGCAAUGGACGAAAGUCUGACGGAGCAACGCCGCGUGAGCGAAGAAGGUCUUCGGAUCGUAAAGCUCUGUUGUUAGGGAAGAACAAGUACGGGAGGAAAUGACCGUACCUUGACGGUACCUAACGAGGAAGCCACGGCUAACUACGUGCCAGCAGCCGCGGUAAUACGUAGGUGGCAAGCGUUGUCCGGAAUUAUUGGGCGUAAAGCGCGCGCAGGCGGUCUUUUAAGUCUGAUGUGAAAUCUUGCGGCUCAAGCGCGAGCGGUCAUUGGAAACUGGUAGACUUGAGUGCAGAAGAGGCAAGCAGAAUUACACUUGUAGCGGUGAAAUGCGUAGAGAGGUGGAGGAACACUAGUGGCGAAGUCGUCUUUCUGAUCUGUAACUGACGAUGAGGCGCGAAAGUGUGGGGAGCAAACAGAAUUAGAUACCCCUGUAGUC
Molecule: ribosomal RNA, 465 nt
Filed under: uncultured bacterium
Lineage: Bacteria
Description: bacterial SSU rRNA
Rfam family: Bacterial small subunit ribosomal RNA
Source: RNAcentral